This is a long non-coding RNA of Micropterus salmoides (largemouth bass), 390 nucleotides long. RefSeq lists it as uncharacterized. The transcript has 5 exons. The record is from RefSeq and is a predicted model, not a curated record. NCBI's taxonomy places the organism in Eukaryota, Metazoa, Chordata, Actinopteri, Centrarchiformes, Centrarchidae.
GACGAUGGAUGGAUGGAUAUUGCUGAGAAGUGGACAGUUAUAAACACCACUGUCACUUGAAGAGGAGAGGGGCCAAAUUCAUCCAUAAAGAAGGGACAUUUAUGAGGUGGAGGGAGCUCAGGAUUAAGGUCAUGCCUUCGAGAUGAGCAGCCAAUCCUUGCGUUUCAGAAGUGGGAUCUAGUCAGUGUUUGACAUGCUUGAACCAGCUUGUUCUUGGUCAGUAUGCCAUUUGAUGGAGUGUGCUUGCCAUCUCGCCUGCCUCUGGCCAUGGUGCCAUCUUGAAAGGCGCCGCGGCACACACACCUGGCCCGCCGGCUGCCUCUUUGGUCUGCCUCACCUUUUGUCAGCACCAUGUUAAUGAAGGCCCUGUCAGUGUCCACCGCUCGCACA